ACUCCUGCCGGGAGGCAGCAGUGGGGAAUAUUGGACAAUGGGCGCAAGCCUGAUCCAGCCAUGCCGCGUGAGUGAUGAAGGCCCUAGGGUUGUAAAGCUCUUUCACCGGUGAAGAUAAUGACGGUAACCGGAGAAGAAGCCCCGGCUAACUUCGUGCCAGCAGCCGCGGUAAUACGAAGGGGGCUAGCGUUGUUCGGAUUUACUGGGCGUAAAGCGCACGUAGGCGGACUAUUAAGUCAGGGGUGAAAUCCCGGGGCUCAACCCCGGAACUGCCUUUGAUACUGGUAGUCUUGAGUUCGAGAGAGGUGAGUGGAAUUCCGAGUGUAGAGGUGAAAUUCGUAGAUAUUCGGAGGAACACCAGUGGCGAAGGCGGCUCACUGGCUCGAUACUGACGCUGAGGUGCGAAAGCGUGGGGAGCAAACAGGAUUAGAUACCCCUGUAGUCCC
Molecule: ribosomal RNA, 446 nt
Filed under: uncultured organism
Description: partial 16S ribosomal RNA
Rfam family: Bacterial small subunit ribosomal RNA
Source: RNAcentral